RNAcentral lists this transfer RNA (86 nucleotides) under Bifidobacterium longum subsp. infantis. Its description in RNAcentral is "tRNA-Ser(tga)". It matches the Rfam family "tRNA". Rfam says of the family: Transfer RNA (tRNA) molecules are approximately 80 nucleotides in length. Lineage: Bacteria; Bacillati; Actinomycetota; Actinomycetes; Bifidobacteriales; Bifidobacteriaceae. The record is from RNAcentral.
GGACAGGUGUCUGAGCGGUCUAAAGAGACGGUCUUGAAAACCGUUGAGGGACAACCCUCCGCGAGUUCGAAUCUCGCCCUGUCCGC